Molecule: ribosomal RNA, 440 nt
Filed under: uncultured bacterium
Lineage: Bacteria
Description: partial 16S ribosomal RNA
Rfam family: Bacterial small subunit ribosomal RNA
Source: RNAcentral
CCUACGGGUGGCAGCAGUGGGGAAUAUUGCACAAUGGGGAAAACCCUGAUGCAGCGACGCCGCGUGAAGGAAGAAGUAUUUCGGUAUGUAAACUUCUAUCAGCAGGGAAGAAAAUGACGGUACCUGACUAAGAAGCCCCGGCUAACUACGUGCCAGCAGCCGCGGUAAUACGUAGGGGGCAAGCGUUAUCCGGAUUUACUGGGUGUAAAGGGAGCGUAGGCGGCGAUGCAAGUCAGAAGUGAAAGCCCGGGGGUCAACUCCGGGACUGCUUUUGAAACUGUAUGGCUAGAUUGAAGGAGAGGGAAGUGGAAUGUCUAGUGUAGCGGUGAAAUGCGUAGAUAUUAGGAGGAACACCAGUGGCGAAGGCGGCUUGCUGGACUGUAAAUGACGCUGAGGCUCGAAAGCGUGGGGAGCAAACAGGAUUAGAUACCCGGGUAGUC